UCAGCCAUUGGACAUGUUGUCCUAUUCAGUACCUCCUGAGAUGUGUUCUGUCAUUAGUCACUCUUGGCCUACUCUUUCCCCCUCAGGCUUUCUGGAAGGGAUACAAACAGCGCCAGGAAUAUCUACACAGACAACAAGUGUUUGCUCGCAACGUUGACUCUGUUGUGAAGGUAAAUAUUGCUUUUGGCCACAACAAGUGCUUGACUUAUACAUUCCCUCACACCUUGUCCUGGAUCUAGAAGAUAAAACUGUUUACCAGAGAUGUGCGAGCCUUGCAGGUCAGUCCUGGGGUUGGAGCACCUUCAAGUGAGUUAGUUGAUGUGCUGCCGUGAUGGUCUCCUGUCCUCUCUGUGGUUAAAAGAAUCAAAUGUAAAUGUGUUUUUGGUACCUGGCUCUUUGUCUGGAAAAUCCCAAUUGAUUUUUAAAGCUAGGAUGCUCUCCCUGCUCUAUCCAGCCUGGUUUCAUGUCCCUCUGAAUGCAUUUGCUAUCAGUACUUAGAGUGUUCAAACAUUACCAGCAGAAAAGCUUAGGUGUGAGGUAGAUGUUAAAGCCUGUGUCCCGGUGAACAAAUAGCUCUGAUCUACAGAAAGGAAAGGCACUGUGGGGGCCACUCUUAGCUAAAAGGAAAAGUUUGCACAACAGAAAAGAAAAAUGAACUUGUAGACAACUUGGAAAUCUAGAUGAUAAUCAGUAAGAACCGGAAAGAAAUUGAAAUGAAUAAGUUGGAAGACUUUGAAGUUGUGGGAGCAGAGAGUGAGA
This 759-nucleotide long non-coding RNA is filed under the name Rattus norvegicus (Norway rat). RNAcentral describes it as "long non-coding RNA NONRATT015991". The record is from RNAcentral. Lineage: Eukaryota; Metazoa; Chordata; Mammalia; Rodentia; Muridae.